AAUCAGUUGUCCACCGUGGCCAUUCUGCCCUCGACUGUCCGGCCUGGUCGUCCAAUGAUGGCCGCACGCGCCAACAAACCAAAUACUGACGUGUCUUCCACGUCGGAUGUGAAGAGGAUGGUUCAGAAACCCUCGGAUCUCUUAUGUGGAUUUUAAUAAUUUAAUAAUUUAUUUUAAUAACUAAAUUAUUCUUUCUUUCUUCUUCUGUUAUUUUCGGAUGCGUUUUACAAAGAUAUUAAUAUAUUAUAUCAAUAUAACUAAACAAAAGUAUAUUACUUAGAAAUUGUUAAAUUGACCCACCCUUUAUUAAAUCAACCCAUCAUGUGAUAAUAGGCAUUACUGUCAUGUGUUUCAUUUUCCAGUUGUAAGCCUUUAAAAAUUGCUACUGGCCCCAAUACUCCAUGGCAUCAGCGAGAACAUUUUUAGCUAUUAAAAAUACACAAAUAUUAGGAUA
Molecule: long non-coding RNA, 454 nt
Filed under: Physcomitrium patens
Lineage: Eukaryota; Viridiplantae; Streptophyta; Bryopsida; Funariales; Funariaceae
Description: long non-coding RNA (PPAT_LNC002180)
Source: RNAcentral